This 439-nucleotide ribosomal RNA is filed under the name uncultured bacterium. Its description in RNAcentral is "partial 16S ribosomal RNA". It matches the Rfam family "Bacterial small subunit ribosomal RNA", at positions 338 to 795 of the family's 1533-position model. The record is from RNAcentral.
CCUACGGGUGGCAGCAGUGGGGAAUAUUGCACAAUGGGGGAAACUCUGAUGCAGCGACGCCGCGUGAAGGAAGACGUUCUUCGGUAUGUAAACUUCUGUCAUCGGGGAAGAAAAUGACGGUACCUGACUAAGAAGCCCCGGCUAACUACGUGCCAGCAGCCGCGGUAAUAUGUAGGGGGCGAGCGUUAUCCGGAUUUACUGGGUGUAAAGGGAGCGUAGGCGGGCCAGCAAGUUGAAGGUAAAAUCCGCCGGCUUAACUGGGGGCUGCGUUUAAAACUGCUUGACUUGAGUGAAGGAGAGGUAGGUGGAAUUCCUAGUGUAGCGGUGAAAUGCGUAGAUAUUAGGAGGAACACCAGUGGCGAAGGCGGCUUGCUGGGCUGUAAAUGACGCUGAGGCUCGAAAGCGUGGGGAGCAAACAGGAUUAGAUACCCGGGUAGUC